RNAcentral lists this ribosomal RNA (566 nucleotides) under Enterobacter cloacae. Its description in RNAcentral is "bacterial SSU rRNA". It matches the Rfam family "Bacterial small subunit ribosomal RNA", at positions 861 to 1427 of the family's 1533-position model. The record is from RNAcentral. Lineage: Bacteria; Pseudomonadati; Pseudomonadota; Gammaproteobacteria; Enterobacterales; Enterobacteriaceae.
UAAAUCGACCGCCUGGGGAGUACGGCCGCAAGGUUAAAACUCAAAUGAAUUGACGGGGGCCCGCACAAGCGGUGGAGCAUGUGGUUUAAUUCGAUGCAACGCGAAGAACCUUACCUGGUCUUGACAUCCACAGAACUUUCCAGAGAUGGAUUGGUGCCUUCGGGAACUGUGAGACAGGUGCUGCAUGGCUGUCGUCAGCUCGUGUUGUGAAAUGUUGGGUUAAGUCCCGCAACGAGCGCAACCCUUAUCCUUUGUUGCCAGCGGUUCGGCCGGGAACUCAAAGGAGACUGCCGGUGAUAAACUGGAGGAAGGUGGGGAUGACGUCAAGUCAUCAUGGCCCUUACGACCAGGGCUACACACGUGCUACAAUGGCGCAUACAAAGAGAAGCGACCUCGCGAGAGCAAGCGGACCUCAUAAAGUGCGUCGUAGUCCGGAUUGGAGUCUGCAACUCGACUCCAUGAAGUCGGAAUCGCUAGUAAUCGUAGAUCAGAAUGCUACGGUGAAUACGUUCCCGGGCCUUGUACACACCGCCCGUCACACCAUGGGAGUGGGUUGCAAAAGAAGU